AACCCCUAAAUGGAGAGUUAUAUAGAAAGAGUUGCCUUGAGAGAAGCAUUAACUUUUGGACGAGGAUGCAGCCAAUCCAAGGCAAUGCUGUGGGGGAAAGGAACUGAAGUGCCAAUGCUAUCAACUUCAAAAGCAAGGUUCAACUUGAUGCAUUUACAGUGAAUGUGCUACUUUAAAAUCAUUUAAAAAGAAAUAUGUAGUUGAUGCUGCAAUCUAUAAUAGAAUUGAUUUUUGCAACUUUUUUUCUCAUUGGGCACUUGACUGCCAACUUUGUUAUGUGCCCAUUUAUCAUCUAAUUGUGGCUUUUAGGAUAAAUACAAUUUGCUAUUCUAGGUGACUCAACAUUUCACUACAUUAUAACUUUUCCUAAAGAAUUCCUAAGGAUAAAAUUUAAUUUUCAUGGUUACAUAUUUUUGGGAAUAGUGUACAUAAGGGAAUUAAUUUGUCUGAUUCUUCUUCCAUGAAUUUAAUUUAUUUCAUAAAGUUACAAAGUGGUAAUUUUUACAAACUAAAUAAUUUUAUUUAUUUCUUGUAAUUGCCAAUUCAAUUGUUUGGGCAACAAAAUUGAAAGUUUCUGAAGGACAAAAACUAUUGAUACUGUAGUCAAAUAUUGUAGUCAACCAUGAAUGGAGAGAUAGACUAUUUUAAUUCAAAUAUUCUGAGAAAUAAAAAAAAUUUAAAUAAAUGGUAACGUUGGAUGAAAAAAUGCCAAGGAAAAAUAUGGUUAGGAAAUGAAAGAGAAUAACAGUAUCAAUACUUUUAGCAGUAAAAAUUUUAAGUAUACAAUUAGUAACAGAAUAGAAUUAAAUACUAUGAACAAAACAAAAUAUUAUAUUGAAUUACCUACAGAGAAAGGUAAUAAGGAAAAUUGGAUUGUACCAAAAAAGGAGUUAGUCAUGUCAUUAAAAUUUGUGUCUGCAUUGUGAAAGUGACAUCAUGGAGGAUGGCAGAGUAGGAAGUUUCAAGAAUUAGUUUCUUCAAUUAAAAAAAAAACGAUUUAGUUGACAAAACCAUGGGAACAACUGUUACAGGACUCUGGAGUAUAGCUGAAUACUUACAGCACUGAAGAGAAUGCUGGUGAAGAAAAAAGAUCAUAAGUUUUGAUGAAUUUUGUCAUUUUGCAUAGCAGCUACCAUCUCCCCUCCUCCAUUCCCAUGGUACACAGCUGUAGGAAUAGUGAACGACGUUCCUGAGGUGGCUUGCUGGUGCCAGAUUGGCCGCUAAGAACCUUGCCUCUAGGAAUCGAGGUUGUGUGAUCUGCCUGACUGUUCACUGAGGGAUCACUGCAUGGACUAGCCACUGUUUCUGCUUCCUUGGUCUGAGAAGACUUCCUGGGCAGUAUCUGCAGGGGGAACGUAAGGAGACAGAACAUUUUCUUCUUUCUCUCUUUUCUUAUUGAAUUCAGGCAUUCAAGGAAAUUUCUGUCAGGUCACUGGCUGGCCACAAAUAUAUGGAACAGAGACUUCAGUGGCCACACAGCCAAGGAAUAUAAUUUUUGCAAAAAUAGUUUGGAAAAAUCACUAAAUAAGGGACAACUGCACCCUCUCAACUAAUAAGGGACAACUGCACCCUCCCAACUAAAUAAGGAACGUCAGCAAUCUCUAGGGAAGGAGAAUAAUGAAAAGUAAAAGUAAAAAGUUCUACCAUGUAAGUGGAUAAAUACAGAGAACAUGUAGUUCUAGCUUUUAUUAUGUGUCCUAGUUUAUUAACAUUUUUUAAGAAGAGGAAAAUAAAACAUGUACUUUCUAUAAAAAAAUGCGUAUGAAGUAUUAUACCAUCUUAUUUGGAUAUUUGGAGCCCUUAUUUGAGGGCUCAUCUUGUUCUCUAUUUUUCCACUAAAUUUUGCCUACCUCUCUGCAGCCAACUAGAGUUUACUGCAGUAAUCAAUGAUAUAAAAUGCUUUAUACUUUUAUUCCUAUGUCACAUGUAAAUCAUAUUAAUAUUCCUGUCUGGAAUACUUUGUAUACUUUGAAUAAUUCUUUUGGGAUGGUUCUUGAGAUUUAAAUUUGCAGUUUCCCUUUGUGCUUGAAAAAAAGAUACACACAUGUAUAUAUAUGUGUGUGUGUGCGUGUGUGUGUGUGUGUCUCAUUAAUAUUCUUGUAUAUCUGUGGAAUAAACUACCAUCAUUUAGUAACUCUGAACUGAUUUUCUAAUAGAAAUAAAGUCAAAAUAGAAAAAUAAGAAAGAAAAAAAUCUUUGACUCCAAUUCAUUAUAUGAGCCACUUUGGAGGAAGACAUAUCAUUGUCCCUAGUGAAUUCUAAAACUUGAAAUCAGCUGCCAAGGAAAUAUCCUAAGUUUCAAAGAGGAAAUAAAAUGUUUAGUAGACUGGCUAAACAUUUCUGCUACCACAGCCCUAUAAGAAUUUGAUGUUGCUUUUCAGCAAAAGGAAAAACAAAAAAGAACUUUGACUUUGACUCCAUGGAAUUGCCCUUACCAGUUGCCUAAGGCAGUGAUUCGCAAAGUAUAUUCUGCAGCAUCCUGGGUGUCCCUGAG
This 2494-nucleotide long non-coding RNA is filed under the name Homo sapiens (human). RNAcentral describes it as "HSALNT0204565". Lineage: Eukaryota; Metazoa; Chordata; Mammalia; Primates; Hominidae. The record is from RNAcentral.